AUUGAACGCUGGCGGCAUGCCUUACACAUGCAAGUCGAACGGCAGCACGGGAGCAAUCCUGGUGGCGAGUGGCGAACGGGUGAGUAAUAUAUCGGAACGUGCCCAGUCGUGGGGGGAUAACGUAGCGAAAGCUACGCUAAUACCGCAUACGAUCUAUGGAUGAAAGCGGGGGAUCGCAAGACCUCGCGCGAUUGGAGCGGCCGAUAUCAGAUUAGGUAGUUGGUGAGGUAAAGGCUCACCAAGCCGACGAUCUGUAGCUGGUCUGAGAGGACAACCAGCCACACUGGGACUGAGACACGGCCCAGACUCCUACGGGAGGCAGCAGUGGGGAAUUUUGGACAAUGGGCGCAAGCCUGAUCCAGCAAUGCCGCGUGCAGGAUGAAGGCCUUCGGGUUGUAAACUGCUUUUGUACGGAACGAAACGGUGAGCUCUAAUACAGUUUGCUAAUGACGGUACCGUAAGAAUAAGCACCGGCUAACUACGUG
RNAcentral lists this ribosomal RNA (485 nucleotides) under uncultured bacterium. RNAcentral's name for it is "bacterial SSU rRNA". It matches the Rfam family "Bacterial small subunit ribosomal RNA", at positions 30 to 507 of the family's 1533-position model. The record is from RNAcentral.